RNAcentral lists this ribosomal RNA (467 nucleotides) under uncultured bacterium. RNAcentral describes it as "bacterial SSU rRNA". It matches the Rfam family "Bacterial small subunit ribosomal RNA", at positions 330 to 793 of the family's 1533-position model. The record is from RNAcentral.
CCCAGACUCCUACGGGAGGCAGCAGUGAGGAAUAUUGGUCAAUGGGCGAGAGCCUGAACCAGCCAAGUCGCGUGAGGGAAGACGGUCCUAUGGAUUGUAAACCUCUUUUGUCGGGGAGCAAAAAGGCCUCGUGAGGCCACAAGCGAGAGUACCCGAAGAAAAAGCAUCGGCUAACUCCGUGCCAGCAGCCGCGGUAAUACGGAGGAUGCGAGCGUUAUCCGGAUUUAUUGGGUUUAAAGGGUGCGUAGGCGGACUGGAAAGACAGGGGUAAAAUCGAGAGGCUCAACCUCUUUCCGCCGUUGAAACUGUCAGUCUUGAGUGGGCGAGAAGUAUGCGGAAUGCGUGGUGUAGCGGUGAAAUGCAUAGAUAUCACGCAGAACUCCGAUUGCGAAGGCAGCAUACCGGCGCCCAACUGACGCUGAGGCACGAAAGUGCGGGGAUCGAACAGGAUUAGAUACCCCCGUACG